UGUUCUUCCUAUGAUUGGAGCAAUGGU
Molecule: unclassified non-coding RNA, 27 nt
Filed under: Mus musculus (house mouse)
Lineage: Eukaryota; Metazoa; Chordata; Mammalia; Rodentia; Muridae
Description: oocyte_clustered_small_RNA5114
Source: RNAcentral